CCUCUAAAAGCACUCUGUGUGGGGAACAUGAGAGCCAGACCAAAGCUCAGAGGAACCCACCUGGACCUCCACCCAGAAGUGUGUCCUUACAGAGUGACCGGUCUAAAGGUUAUCCCAUUCAUUUUAAAGUCCAGCCUCUGUCUGCUGCAGGGAGAGGUCAGAGGUCACAGUCUGCAGGGUCCAGCUGUCCAUCUGUGAGGAGUCACCGGUUGAAAGAUCAACCUCCAUUCUUCAGUGAUGAACCUGGACCAACAAGGUCAGAGACAUGUGAUGAGCUCCUUUAGAUAUAACCUCUAGCACUACUGUAUUUAUUCUUUAGUUCUGGAGCAUUGCAAUGUCACCUGUCAACUCAUUUGUUCUUUAUUUACAUCAAAAACAUGUUUAAAAGAAAGCUUCCUUUAUUAUUUUUAUUUACUUUUUUGAAUUUUAUUUAGUGUUAUUAACUUAGCUCUAAAUCCUCAUACUGCUCCUCGUGUGGCAUCACUGAGUCUCAGGAGAAAGUCAGACUGUGACACAAAGCAAACAAGUCAGUCUUCCAAAGGACGGUUGGAGAAUAAAAAUAAUAUGUUUUAGAAGCACCAAAUAAACUCAAAUCCUAAUCCAGUGGAAAUAUUGUAGAGGUUCCUGAAGUGAAAAUCCACCAUAACCCAGAGCUGAAGUUGCUCUGUGUGAAUAACUAAGUUCAACUCAAUUCAAUUCAAUUUAAUUUAUGUAGCAUCAAAUCACAAAAACAGUCGCCUCAAGGCGCUUUAUAUUGUACCGUACAUCCUACAAUAAUAGAU
Oreochromis aureus is the source of this 782-nucleotide long non-coding RNA. RefSeq lists it as uncharacterized. Lineage: Eukaryota; Metazoa; Chordata; Actinopteri; Cichliformes; Cichlidae. The transcript has 3 exons. The record is from RefSeq and is a predicted model, not a curated record.